AACGGCGAGUGAAGCGGCAAAAGCUCAAAUUUGAAAUCUGGCCCCCUAGGGGGUCCGAGUUGUAAUUUGCAGAGGAUGCUUCGGGUGUGGCCACGGCCUAAGUUCCUUGGAACAGGACGUCAUAGAGGGUGAGAAUCCCGUCUUGGGCCGCCGGUCCGCGCCCGUGUGAAGUUCCUUCGACGAGUCGAGUUGUUUGGGAAUGCAGCUCUAAGCGGGUGGUAAAUUUCAUCUAAAGCUAAAUAUUGGCCGGAGACCGAUAGCGCACAAGUAGAGUGAUCGAAAGGUUAAAAGCACCUUGAAAAGGGAGUUAAACAGCACGUGAAAUUGUUGAAAGGGAAGCGCUUGCGGCCAGACUCGGGGGCGGGGUUCAGCGGGCCUACUGGCCAGUGUACUCCCCGUUCUCCGGGCCAGCAUCGGUUUGGACGGCCGGUCAAAGGCCCCCGGAAUGUGUCGUCUCCAGGGACGUCUUAUAGCCGGGGGUGCAAUGCGGCCCGUCCGGACCGAGGAACGCGCUUCGGCUCGGAUGCUGGCGUAAUGGCCGUAAGCGGCCCGUCUUGAAACACGGACCAAGGAGUCUAACAUCCACGCGAGUGUUCGGGUGUCAAACCCGUGCGCGCAGUUAAAGCGAACGGAGGUGGGGAGCCUUAGGGCGCACCAUCGACCGAUCCUGAAGUCUUCGGAUGGAUUUGAGUAGGAGCGUGGCCGUUGGGACCCGAAAGAUGGUGAACUAUGCCUGAAUAGGGUGAAGCCAGAGGAAACUCUGGUGGAGGCUCGCAGCGGUUCUGACGUGCAAAUCGAUCGUCAAAUUU
RNAcentral lists this ribosomal RNA (809 nucleotides) under Guarromyces ceretanicus. RNAcentral's name for it is "LSU rRNA". It matches the Rfam family "Eukaryotic large subunit ribosomal RNA", at positions 85 to 912 of the family's 3401-position model. The record is from RNAcentral. Lineage: Eukaryota; Fungi; Ascomycota; Eurotiomycetes; Onygenales; Arthrodermataceae.